UUGCAGCCAUAUAGCGUUGAAACACCGGUUCCCGUAUGAUUACCGAAGUUAAGCAAUGCCGAGCCUGGUCAGUACCUAAAUGGGUGGCCACUUUGGAAUACCAGGU
Acanthosepion pharaonis is the source of this 106-nucleotide non-coding RNA. The record is from the annotation of a GenBank genome assembly. NCBI's taxonomy places the organism in Eukaryota, Metazoa, Mollusca, Cephalopoda, Sepiida, Sepiidae.